Molecule: unclassified non-coding RNA, 378 nt
Filed under: plant metagenome
Description: partial contains 5.8S ribosomal RNA, internal transcribed spacer 2, and large subunit ribosomal RNA
Rfam family: 5.8S ribosomal RNA (bases 1-105)
Source: RNAcentral
GAAAUGCGAUAAGUAAUGUGAAUUGCAGAAUUCAGUGAAUCAUCGAAUCUUUGAACGCACCUUGCGCUCCUUGGUAUUCCUUGGAGCAUGCCUGUUUGAGUAUCAUGAAAUCUUCAAAGUAAAUCUUUUGUUAACUCAAUUGGUUUCUACUUUGGUAUUGGAGGUCAUUGCAGCUUCACACCUGCUCCUCUUUGUUCAUUAGCUGGAUCUCAGUGUUAUGCUUGGUUCCACUCGGCGUGAUAAGUUAUCUAUCGCUGAGGACACUGUAAAAGGUGGCCAAGGUAAAUGCAGAUGAACCGCUUCUAAUAGUCCAUUGACUUGGACAAUACUUUUAUGAUCUGAUCUCAAAUCAGGUAGGACUACCCGCUGAACUUAAGC